GUGGGGAAUAUUGGACAAUGGGGGGAACCCUGAUCCAGCCAUGCCGCGUGUGUGAAGAAGGCCUUUUGGUUGUAAAGCACUUUAAGCGAGGAGGAGGCUACCGAGAUUAAUACUCUUGGAUAGUGGACGUUACUCGCAGAAUAAGCACCGGCUAACUCUGUGCCAGCAUCCGCGGUAAUACAGCGGGUGCAAGCGUUAAUCGGCUUUACUGGGCGUAAAGCGCGCGUAGGUGGCCAAUUAAGUCAAAUGUGAAAUCCCCGAGCUUAAGUUGGGAAUUGCAUUCGAUACUGGAUGGCUAGAGGAUGGGAGAGGAUGGUAGAAUGCCAGGUGUAGCGGUGAAAUGCGUAGAGAUCUGGAGGAAUACCGAUGGCGAAGGCAGCCAUCUGGCCUAAUACUGACACUGAGGCGCGAAAGCAUGGGGAGCAAACAGGAUUAGAAACCCUUGUAGUCC
Molecule: ribosomal RNA, 451 nt
Filed under: uncultured bacterium
Lineage: Bacteria
Description: partial 16S ribosomal RNA
Rfam family: Bacterial small subunit ribosomal RNA
Source: RNAcentral